UUCCGGUUGAUCCUGCCGGACCUGACUGCUAUCGGAUUGAUACUAAGCCAUGCUAGUUUUUGUAGUAAUACAAGGCAUACGGCUCAGUAACGCGUAGUCAACCUACCCUAUGGACGGGGAUAAUCUCGGGAAACUGAGCAUAAUACCCGGUAGACCAUAAUCUCCUGGAAUGGUUAGUGGUUAAAAUGAUUCGUCGCCAUAGGAUGGGACUGCGGCCUAUCAGCUUGUUGGUGGGGUAAUGGCCCACCAAGGCGAUUACAGGUACGGGCUCUGAAAGGAAAAACCCGGAAAUGGGUACUGAAACAAGGACCCAGGCCCUAUGGGGCGCAACAGGGGAAAAAACUUUGCAAUGGGCGAAAGCACGACCAGGUUAAUCCGAAUGAUUUCUGCUAAAGGAAUCUUUUGUUAGUUCUAAAACCACUAGUGAAUAAGGGGUGGGCAAGUUCUGGUGUCAGCCGCCGCGGUAAAACCAGCACCUCAAGUGGUCAGGAUGAUUAUUGGGCCUAAAGCAUCCGUAGCCUGCUCUGUAAGUUUUCGGUUAAAUCUAUACUGCUCAACGUAUGGGCUGCCGAAAAUACUGUAUAGAUAGGGAGUGGGAGAGGUAGACGGUACUCGGUAGGAAGGGGUAAAAUCCUUUGAUCUAUCGAUGACCACCUGUGGCGAAGCGGUCUACCAGACACGUUCGACGGUGAGGGAUGAAAGCUGGGGAGCAAACCGGAUUAGAUACCCGGGUAGUCCCAGCUGUAAACGAUGCAGACUCGAUGAUGCAUUGGCAUAUAGCCAGUGCAGUGUCGCAGGAAGCCGUUAAGUCUGCGCCUGGCAGUACGUACGCAAGUAUGAACUUAAGGAUUGGCGGGGAGCACACAGGGGUGAGCUGCGGUUCAAUUGGAGUCACGCGAA
Molecule: ribosomal RNA, 900 nt
Filed under: uncultured archaeon
Lineage: Archaea
Description: bacterial SSU rRNA
Rfam family: Archaeal small subunit ribosomal RNA
Source: RNAcentral